Molecule: long non-coding RNA, 436 nt
Organism: Momordica charantia (bitter melon)
Lineage: Eukaryota; Viridiplantae; Streptophyta; Magnoliopsida; Cucurbitales; Cucurbitaceae
Source: RefSeq, a predicted model, not a curated record
AGAAAAGAAAAGAAGAAAGAAGGGGAAAAAAAAGAAAGAACAGAGAGGGGUGAAACGAAAACGGAGAAGGAAAAAGGAGGGAGAGAGAACGAUGGUGAAGAAGAGAAAGAAGCGGAGAAGAAGAGUUUGAAGAAAUUUGUUUUAAAAGCAGCGGUACGGAGUUAUGGAUUCAUAGUUUGUAUGGUCAACUUGAGUGGAGAAUUUCAUGCGCCUGCACGGGAACCGAAAUUCCACGAAGGUCACACUACUCAGUCUCCGAUCUAAUCCUAAAAGGUAAAGCCCGGGUAGGAGGCUUGUGAAUAUGUGUGAGAUGCAUGGUGAUGCAAAAUAAAAUAAUAAUACAAUUAAAUGAAGAAAAAAAAACAAACAAAAAAUGGACCCAAAAACAUAUUACAAUAGGGUAAUAAAUGACAAACUAAAUGGCUUGACUCUCAAA